UGGGGGAAUAUUGGACAAUGGGCGCAAGCCUGAUCCAGCAAUGCCGCGUGUGUGAAGAAGGCCUUCGGGUUGUAAAGCACUUUUAUCAGGAAGCGAAACGCUGUCGGCUAAUACCCGGCGGAACUGACGGUACCUGAGGAAUAAGCACCGGCUAACUUCGUGCCAGCAGCCGCGGUAAUACGAAGGGUGCAAGCGUUAAUCGGAAUUACUGGGCGUAAAGCGUGCGUAGGCGGUUUCUUAAGUCUGCUGUGAAAUCCCCGGGCUCAACCUGGGAAUGGCAGUGGAUACUGGGAGGCUAGAGUGUGUCAGAGGGUGGUGGAAUUCCCGGUGUAGCGGUGAAAUGCGUAGAGAUCGGGAGG
Molecule: ribosomal RNA, 359 nt
Filed under: uncultured bacterium
Lineage: Bacteria
Description: partial 16S ribosomal RNA
Rfam family: Bacterial small subunit ribosomal RNA
Source: RNAcentral